AUCCGGAAUCAUUGGGCGUAAAGCGUCUGUAGGUUGUUUAAUAAGUCUGUUGUUAAAGACUAGGGCUCAACCCUAGAAAAGCAAUGGAAACUACUAGACUUGAGUAUGGCAGGGGUAGAGGGAAUUUCUAGUGUAGCGGUGAAAUGCGUAGAUAUUAGAAAGAACACCAGCGGCGAAAGCGCUCUACUGGACCAUUACUGACACUCAGAGACGAAAGCUAGGGUAGCAAAAGGGAUUAGAUACCCCUGUAGUCCUAGCCGUAAACGAUGGAUACUAGAUGUUGUGUUUAAUAUGCAGUAUCGUAGCUAACGCGUUAAGUAUCCCGCCUGGGGAGUACGCUCGCAAGGGUGAAACUCAAAGGAAUUGACGGGGGCCCGCACAAGCGGUGGAGCAUGUGGUUUAAUUCGAUGCAACGCGAAGAACCUUACCAGGACUUGACAUACUACAAAUUUCUUUGAAAAAAGGAAGUGCCUUCGGGAAUGUAGAUACAGGUGGUGCAUGGCUGUCGUCAGCUCGUGUCGUGAGAUGUUGGGUUAAGUCCCGCAACGAGCGCAACCCUUAUUUUUAGUUACUAAUUAAUUAGGUUUUCUAGAAAGACUGCCGGUGACAAACCGGAGGAAGGUGAGGAUGACGUCAAGUCAGCAUGCCCCUUAUGUCCUGGGCUACACACGUGCUACAAUGGUUAAAACAAAGGGUCGCGAGCUCGUGAGAGUCAGCUAAUCCCAUAAAUUUAGCCUAAGUUCAGAUUGUAGGCUG
This 756-nucleotide ribosomal RNA is filed under the name uncultured marine haptophyte. RNAcentral's name for it is "bacterial SSU rRNA". It matches the Rfam family "Bacterial small subunit ribosomal RNA", at positions 543 to 1307 of the family's 1533-position model. The record is from RNAcentral. Lineage: Eukaryota; Haptophyta.